This 242-nucleotide unclassified non-coding RNA is filed under the name Glomeraceae sp. RNAcentral's name for it is "partial contains 5.8S ribosomal RNA and internal transcribed spacer 2". The stretch from base 1 to 71 matches the Rfam family "5.8S ribosomal RNA", at positions 84 to 154 of the family's 154-position model. The record is from RNAcentral. Lineage: Eukaryota; Fungi; Glomeromycota; Glomeromycetes; Glomerales; Glomeraceae.
GUGAAUCAUCGAAUUUUUGAACGCAAAUUGCACUCUCUGGUAUUCCGGAGAGUAUGCCUGUUUGAGGGUCAGUUUAAAUAAAAAUCGGGUUGGUUUCUGACUUUCGUGGUGACGCACCGGAGGUGGGUCGUCUUGCUUUCGGUUAAGUGACCUAAAAUUUUGCAUUAUUGUGUUCUAUCGUAUUUAAAUGAUUUUACGUACUUUUUCUAUUUAGAAUGUUAGUAUUUUUUAUCCUCAUGAUU